This 335-nucleotide unclassified non-coding RNA is filed under the name uncultured fungus. Its description in RNAcentral is "partial contains 5.8S ribosomal RNA and internal transcribed spacer 2". The stretch from base 1 to 134 matches the Rfam family "5.8S ribosomal RNA", at positions 22 to 154 of the family's 154-position model. The record is from RNAcentral. Lineage: Eukaryota; Fungi.
UGGUUCUGGCAUCGAUGAAGAACGCAGCGAAAUGCGAUAAGUAAUGCGAAUUGCAGAAUUUCAGUGAGUCAUCGAAUCUUUGAACGCACAUUGCGCCCUUUGGUAUUCCGAAGGGCAUGCCUGUCCGAGCGUCAUUAUCACCCCUCAAGCCCCGUGCUAGGUGUUGGAUGGGGUCGGUCACACGACCCCUUCCCAAAGACAAUGACGGCGGCCUGUGGUUCCCCCGGUACACUGAGCUUCACUCUCGAGUGGCACGUAUCGGACGAGGGCGCCCGGGUCCCGGUCUCUCCAUUUAUCUUAAGGUUGACCUCGGAUCAGGUAGGAAUACGCGCUGA